CCACAUCAAUUUUAGCAGACUCUGAGCAGCCCUGCUUAGUGCAAGACUCCUGCCUGGGAUAUGUGCGCGUCUCGAGGGCAGAGUGAAGUCCUUGGGGGAACUCAG
RNAcentral lists this microRNA precursor (105 nucleotides) under Choloepus hoffmanni (Hoffmann's two-fingered sloth). RNAcentral describes it as "miRNA (ENSCHOG00000015548.1)". Lineage: Eukaryota; Metazoa; Chordata; Mammalia; Pilosa; Megalonychidae. The record is from RNAcentral.